GAUGAACGCUGGCGGCGUACCUAAUACAUGCAAGUCGAGCGAACAGACGAGGAGCUUGCUCCUCUGACGUUAGCGGCGGACGGGUGAGUAACACGUGGAUAACCUACCUAUAAGACUGGGAUAACUUCGGGAAACCGGAGCUAAUACCGGAUAAUAUAUUGAACCGCAUGGUUCAAUAGUGAAAGACGGUUUUGCUGUCACUUAUAGAUGGAUCCGCGCCGCAUUAGCUAGUUGGUAAGGUAACGGCUUACCAAGGCAACGAUGCGUAGCCGACCUGAGAGGGUGAUCGGCCACACUGGAACUGGGACACGGUCCAGACUCCUACGGGAGGCAGCAGUAGGGAAUCUUCCGCAAUGGGCGAAAGCCUGACGGAGCAACGCCGCGUGAGUGAUGAAGGUCUUCGGAUCGUAAAACUCUGUUAUUAGGGAAGAACAAAUGUGUAAGUAACUAUGCACGUCUUGACGGUACCUAAUCAGAAAGCCACGGCUAACUACGUGC
This 498-nucleotide ribosomal RNA is filed under the name uncultured bacterium. RNAcentral's name for it is "partial 16S ribosomal RNA". It matches the Rfam family "Bacterial small subunit ribosomal RNA", at positions 28 to 508 of the family's 1533-position model. The record is from RNAcentral.